AUUUCUCUGUGACUGCACUGAUGCCAAGGCAAAGCCAAGGCAAACAAGGUUGGUUGGUAGCAUUGAUUCCCAUCUUCAAAACCUCUCCAAAUUAGCCCUGAAUAUGAGUUACCAUGAGCAAAAAAAACCAAGUUCAAAAGGAUGAAGAGAGGCCAACGUGUCAGACCCGUCUCUGAAUUUCUGGGUCAUAACUGUUUUAAAUUAGUAUUCCCAAUACUGUUUCCAUGAAACGCUUGGCUUCAUUCUGCAACGGAAAAGCUAUUUUUGUGCUCUGGGCACACAUAUUUAUAUGGAGAUAUAUCCAUAAUUCCAAUUAAAUCUUGUUUCUGUGAUGCUCUUUUUCUCUACUGAAAAAGGCAUCACUCUCAUCACUAUUAUUUCUGAUAAGAGUCUUACAAAGUUCAGGCUCUGAGUCAAGUACAGAUGCUGCAGGACUCCGACAAAUGACAGUUGUCAUUCACUUUAGACCUUGUGAAAUUCUCGAGGAAACUUUCAGUUUUUCCUCCUAUUAGGGCUCAAUCUUCUUGGAUUCCAUGACUCACCUGCCCUGCAAUGGCUGAGGGCUUUCGUGAUCCCUCCUGGGAAAAUUGAAGCCCGGCAGUGUCUCUAGCUGAUAUGCAUGCUUAACAUACUUCCUCUGAAGCUGAACAUUUACAAUAUUGACUUUGUAGGGAACCCUGGGGCCUAGCUGGGAGACCAGGAAAGAGUUAAGAGUUUGGAAGGCUGCCUCCUUGGUACUCAGAGGGCUGAGAACUGGACACUGGAAAGGUCAAGCAGUCAAGGCAAGACAAGUGUGUAAGUUACUACCCUAACUUUGUUUAAAUUAGAGCUGUCUGAACCCUAAAAGCUUAAGGCCUUGGAAAUAUAAUGAAUGUUUAUGUUAUGGUUACAUGUUUAUUGUUCGCCUCUGUUCCCUAAUGAAAAGGGAGUCAAUUAUCACUACAUAUACAAGCUAUACCUCCUGUUAAUGGUUGUAACCACAAGAUAGAUUGAAACCCUAUUUUCUGCAUGUACCUGUAGUCACCUCCCCUGUACUGAACUAAAUAAUAUUGGUGAUGGAAAGCACAGGGCUUGAAAGC
Perognathus longimembris pacificus (Pacific pocket mouse) is the source of this 1079-nucleotide long non-coding RNA. RefSeq lists it as uncharacterized. The record is from RefSeq and is a predicted model, not a curated record. NCBI's taxonomy places the organism in Eukaryota, Metazoa, Chordata, Mammalia, Rodentia, Heteromyidae. The transcript is spliced from 4 exons.